UACGUAGGGUGCAAGCGUUGUCCGGAAUUAUUGGGCGUAAAGAGCUCGUAGGCGGUCUGUCACGUCGGCUGUGAAAUCCCGAGGCUCAACCUCGGGUCUGCAGUCGAUACGGGCAAACUAGAGUAUUGCAGGGGAGACUGGAAUUCCUGGUGUAGCGGUGAAAUGCGCAGAUAUCAGGAGGAACACCAGUGGCGAAGGCGGUUGCCUGGGGCUUUGCUGACGCUGAUGCGCGAAAGCGUGGGGAGCGAUCCGG
Molecule: ribosomal RNA, 253 nt
Filed under: uncultured bacterium
Lineage: Bacteria
Description: partial 16S ribosomal RNA
Rfam family: Bacterial small subunit ribosomal RNA
Source: RNAcentral